Ahaetulla prasina is the source of this 1298-nucleotide long non-coding RNA. RefSeq lists it as uncharacterized. NCBI's taxonomy places the organism in Eukaryota, Metazoa, Chordata, Lepidosauria, Squamata, Colubridae. The transcript has 3 exons. The record is from RefSeq and is a predicted model, not a curated record.
CCCCGGUGAGGCCGCGGCGGCCUUUGGUGUCCAGGCGCCUCCCCUUCGCGGCCAUCUGCCGGGAGGGGCAGAGGAGGCAGAGGCUGGCCGCGAAGGCGAGGGAGUCGCGUCAGCCGCGGGGAGGUGGAGUAUUUCACGUCCCUUUGGUAUAACUGCUCACAAUUGCUACAGACAAGCCAACUGUGUGUGUCCAGAUUUGAUUCUCUUCGUUUACAACUCAUGUAUCUGAUGAAACAGACUGCAAAAUCAUAUUACGAGACCGCCUGCUGUUACCCUUUGCCUCCCACCGACCCGUACGCUCCCACAGAGAGGGUCUCCUCAGGGUGCCGUCCGCCAAACAGUGUCGGCUGGCGGCCCCCAGGAGUAGGGCCUUCUCUGUGGGGGCAAUGACGCUCUGGAACGAACUUCCCCCUGGCCUGCGUCAAGUGCCUGAUCUUCGGACCUUCCGUCGUGAGCUCAAAACGUAUUUAUUUAUUAAAGCAGGACUGGCAUAAUUAGUGUUGAAUUUUAAUUGGGUAUUCUUAAUUAUUUUAAAUUUUUAAAUCUAAAUUUUAAUAAUCAGCCUUUAAAAUUUGCUCUUUUUAAAUGUUGUUUUAAAUUGUAUAUAUUUUGUUUUUAUUCUGGCUGUACACCGCCCUGAGUCCUUCGGGAGAAGGGCGGUAUAAAAAUUUAAUAAAUAAAUAAACAAAUAAAUAAAUAAAUAUCAAGAUUUAGAAUGAAAUCCACUGGGAGCCAUCUCAUAAAAAGCAGGCUCUGACUCUCUCUAACCAAAAAGUGUUUAUCAAUAGAAGAGAAUAUUUGUAGCUCAGGGUUGAACUGUGGGGUCCUUGGUGCUCUUUGAGCUUGAUGGUAUUCUUGCAGCUGUUUCAUUACCAAACUAGGUAACAUCAUUUGUACUAGAAGGGAGUGGAGUUUGUUCUUAUUUUCAUAUACUAGUCUAGUGGCUUAUCCUGUAAGUGUUGAUCAGUUGCUUCACAAAAAGUGUUUUGAUUGGUGCCGGGUCUCUACAGCCUCAGGCAGAGAAGGGCUAUUCUGCACCCCUCCCUCAAAUAUUCUUUAAAAUACAGAGUUUCCCAGCAUUCCUUUAGGAACUUCCAACAUGCAAACUGUGGUUACUCGUCCAAUAAUGAAUCCUCUUUACCUGGAGCUUCAAAAUUUGCUGUUUGCUGAGAAGGUGUUUAGCUAAAAGUCAGUCUACAUUUAGUCUACAUCUGACUUUGGGGAUAUUUCUUCAUAACCAAACAAAAGUGUAUUUUCUGUGCAGGUCACACCCCUUGCUCACCGAAUCUAGAUGCCAC